GGGGUUGUGGCUCAGUGGUAGAGCACUUGCCUUCCAUGUGUGGGGCAGUGGGUUCAAUCCUCAGCACCA
Molecule: transfer RNA, 69 nt
Filed under: Ictidomys tridecemlineatus (thirteen-lined ground squirrel)
Lineage: Eukaryota; Metazoa; Chordata; Mammalia; Rodentia; Sciuridae
Description: Spermophilus tridecemlineatus (thirteen-lined ground squirrel) tRNA
Rfam family: tRNA
About the family: Transfer RNA (tRNA) molecules are approximately 80 nucleotides in length. Their secondary structure includes four short double-helical elements and three loops (D, anti-codon, and T loops).
Source: Rfam by way of RNAcentral